UGGGGAAUUUUGGACAAUGGGCGCAAGCCUGAUCCAGCAAUGCCGCGUGCAGGAUGAAGGCCUUCGGGUUGUAAACUGCUUUUGUACGGAACGAAAAGCCUCUCUCUAAUACAGGGGGGUGAUGACGGUACCGUAAGAAUAAGCACCGGCUAACUACGUGCCAGCAGCCGCGGUAAUACGUAGGGUGCAAGCGUUAAUCGGAAUUACUGGGCGUAAAGCGCGCGCAGGCGGUUUUGUAAGACAGUGGUGAAAUCCCCGGGCUCAACCUGGGAACUGCCAUUGUGACUGCAAGGCUGGAGUGCGGCAGAGGGGGAUGGAAUUCCGCGUGUAGCAGUGAAAUGCGUAGAUAUGCGGAGGAACACCGAUGGCGAAGGCAAUCCCCUGGGCCUGCACUGACGCUCAUGCACGAGAGCGUGGGGAGCAAACAGGAUUAGAUACCCUGGUAGUCCACGCCCUAAACGAUGUCAACUGGUUGUUGGGGAUUUAUUUCUUCAGUAACGAAGCUGAACGCGUGAAGUUGACCGCCUGGGGGAGUA
Molecule: ribosomal RNA, 536 nt
Filed under: uncultured bacterium
Lineage: Bacteria
Description: partial 16S ribosomal RNA
Rfam family: Bacterial small subunit ribosomal RNA
Source: RNAcentral